This 1249-nucleotide ribosomal RNA is filed under the name Paenarthrobacter nitroguajacolicus. RNAcentral's name for it is "bacterial SSU rRNA". It matches the Rfam family "Bacterial small subunit ribosomal RNA", at positions 114 to 1377 of the family's 1533-position model. Lineage: Bacteria; Bacillati; Actinomycetota; Actinomycetes; Micrococcales; Micrococcaceae. The record is from RNAcentral.
CACGUGAGUAACCUGCCCUUGACUCUGGGAUAAGCCUGGGAAACUGGGUCUAAUACCGGAUACGACCAUCUGGCGCAUGUCAUGGUGGUGGAAAGCUUUUGUGGUUUUGGAUGGACUCGCGGCCUAUCAGCUUGUUGGUGGGGUAAUGGCCUACCAAGGCGACGACGGGUAGCCGGCCUGAGAGGGUGACCGGCCACACUGGGACUGAGACACGGCCCAGACUCCUACGGGAGGCAGCAGUGGGGAAUAUUGCACAAUGGGCGCAAGCCUGAUGCAGCGACGCCGCGUGAGGGAUGACGGCCUUCGGGUUGUAAACCUCUUUCAGUAGGGAAGAAGCGAAAGUGACGGUACCUGCAGAAGAAGCGCCGGCUAACUACGUGCCAGCAGCGCGGUAAUACGUAGGGCGCAAGCGUUAUCCGGAAUUAUUGGGCGUAAAGAGCUCGUAGGCGGUUUGUCGCGUCUGCUGUGAAAGACCGGGGCUCAACUCCGGUUCUGCAGUGGGUACGGGCAGACUAGAGUGCAGUAGGGGAGACUGGAAUUCCUGGUGUAGCGGUGAAAUGCGCAGAUAUCAGGAGGAACACCGAUGGCGAAGGCAGGUCUCUGGGCUGUAACUGACGCUGAGGAGCGAAAGCAUGGGGAGCGAACAGGAUUAGAUACCCUGGUAGUCCAUGCCGUAAACGUUGGGCACUAGGUGUGGGGGACAUUCCACGUUUUCCGCGCCGUAGCUAACGCAUUAAGUGCCCCGCCUGGGGAGUACGGCCGCAAGGCUAAAACUCAAAGGAAUUGACGGGGGCCCGCACAAGCGGCGGAGCAUGCGGAUUAAUUCGAUGCAACGCGAAGAACCUUACCAAGGCUUGACAUGAACCGGAAAGACCUGGAAACAGGUGCCCCGCUUGCGGUCGGUUUACAGGUGGUGCAUGGUUGUCGUCAGCUCGUGUCGUGAGAUGUUGGGUUAAGCCGCAACGAGCGCAACCCUCGUUCUAUGUUGCCAGCGCGUUAUGGCGGGGACUCAUAGGAGACUGCCGGGGUCAACUCGGAGGAAGGUGGGGACGACGUCAAAUCAUCAUGCCCCUUAUGUCUUGGGCUUCACGCAUGCUACAAUGGCCGGUACAAAGGGUUGCGAUACUGUGAGGUGGAGCUAAUCCCAAAAAGCCGGUCUCAGUUCGGAUUGGGGUCUGCAACUCGACCCCAUGAAGUCGGAGUCGCUAGUAAUCGCAGAUCAGCAACGCUGCGGUGAAUACGUUCCCGG